AUUGAACGCUGGCGGCAUGCCUUACACAUGCAAGUCGAACGGCAGCGGGCCUUCGGGUGCCGGCGAGUGGCGAACGGGUGAGUAAUGCAUCGGAACGUGCCAUUGAGUGGGGGAUAACGUAGCGAAAGUUACGCUAAUACCGCAUAUUCUGUGAGCAGGAAAGCAGGGGACCGCAAGGCCUUGCGCUCUUUGAGCGGCCGAUGUCAGAUUAGCUAGUUGGUGAGGUAAAAGGCUUACCAAGGCGACGAUCUGUAGCGGGUCUGAGAGGAUGAUCCGCCACACUGGAACUGAGACACGGUCCAGACUCCUACGGGAGGCAGCAGUGGGGAAUUUUGGACAAUGGGCGCAAGCCUGAUCCAGCCAUGCCGCGUGAGUGAAGAAGGCC
This 385-nucleotide ribosomal RNA is filed under the name uncultured bacterium. Its description in RNAcentral is "bacterial SSU rRNA". It matches the Rfam family "Bacterial small subunit ribosomal RNA", at positions 30 to 416 of the family's 1533-position model. The record is from RNAcentral.